Molecule: non-coding RNA, 388 nt
Organism: Pelobates cultripes (western spadefoot toad)
Lineage: Eukaryota; Metazoa; Chordata; Amphibia; Anura; Pelobatidae
Source: the annotation of a GenBank genome assembly
GUGGCCCACUAGGCACUCGCAUUCCACACCCGGCUCCAAGCCAGCAAGCCGCGCUUCUUACCCAUUUAAAGUUUGAGAAUAGGUUGAGAUCGUUUCGGCCCCAAGACCUCUAAUCAUUCGCUUUACCGGAUAAAACUGCGAAGGUUUACGUCGUGACAAGCGCCAGCUAUCCUGAGGGAAACUUCGGAGGGAACCAGCUACUAGACGGUUCGAUUAGUCUUUCGCCCCUAUACCCAGGUCGGAUGACUGAUUUGCACGUCAGGAACGCUGCGGACCUCCACCAGAGUUUCCUCUGGCUUCGCCCUGCCCAGGCAUAGUUCACCAUCUUUCGGGUCCUAUUGCACGCGCUCACGCUCCACCUCCCGGACGGGGCCAGCGAGACGGGCCG